GGUUUUUGAGUUAUAAGCCAAAAACUGCAUUUUACCCCUAUGUUCUAUUUUUAGCCAUGGCGGCCAUCUUGGUUGGUUGGCCGGGUCACCGGACACAUUUUUUAAACUGGAUACCCCAAUGAUGAUUGUGGACAAGUUUGGUUUAAUUUGGCCCAGCAGUUUCAGAGAAGAAGAUUUUUGUAAAAGUUAACAACAACGACGACGGACGACGGACGACGACGGACGACGGACGCCGGACGCAAAGUGAUGGGAAAAGCUCACUUGGCCCUUCGGGCCAGGUGAGCUAAAAAGCUACA
RNAcentral lists this long non-coding RNA (296 nucleotides) under Mytilus galloprovincialis (Mediterranean mussel). The record is from RNAcentral. Lineage: Eukaryota; Metazoa; Mollusca; Bivalvia; Mytilida; Mytilidae.